This is a long non-coding RNA of Lolium rigidum, 1661 nucleotides long. RefSeq lists it as uncharacterized. The record is from RefSeq and is a predicted model, not a curated record. The transcript has 5 exons. NCBI's taxonomy places the organism in Eukaryota, Viridiplantae, Streptophyta, Magnoliopsida, Poales, Poaceae.
UAAUUAGGUAUACCGUUUUCUUGCUUCCUAUUGCAGACUCAAGAAUCUAUCAUUGGUUUCCCUAUCUUAUGAAGUUGGAUCAACAUUUGGACCUAUUUCAUUAAACAUGCAAUGUUUACGCCAUUGUUAUAUAGAGUAAAAACUAAAAACAUACCGUGAUGGUAAGGUAGUCCUAAUCUUUUUCUACAUUUAGAUAAAUAUGAAUCUAUUUAUAAUGUCAGCAUAUCAUGGCAUCCACAAUUUGCUAUAUUAGUUAACUGUAUUGUUCAGAAUAGUGAAGCCAGAGUAAUCUCUACUGUGUUAUUCAGCUCACCAAAGUACAGGGUUCUCUCUCUAUCAAUAUUACAAUGGACUGGUAUGCUCUUGCGCCAAUUCCAAUCAUCGUCUAAUUGUAUUGUUAAGAAUGGAGAAGCCAUGGCAUGAAGUGCCUAUCAGUCUGCUAAUGGCUUCUGUGAACAGCUUCUUCUCUGUACAUGACAACACUGGCAGUGCUCAAGCAAUCUGUAGCUAGCGGACAGAACUGAGCACGUAAUCCUUCAGAUCACCCUGCUUGAGUGAAUAAAUUUAAUCCUCUAUGUGAUGUAUCAGCUCAGAGAACACAUAAGUAUAAAAGUGUACAACAAGAUCACCAUAUAUUUAUUCAUCCCUCCACUAGCGGAUUUUUAAAAACCUCUUUAAGAGGAAGUAGGUAAUAUUCUAUACCAUUUCUCAGCCUUCUGAGCUACUAAUUAAGGAGUUUUUGUACAACCAUGAUACAUACUAGGGUACAAUUUGGCAUGGCAUUUGCAAGGCCCAAUUUGAACAUAACAUGGCUGUUUCGUUCUAGAGAGCUACCACAUGUGUUCUUCUCUCAUUCCGUACUGAUUUUUUCUCUCCUCUGCAGAUCCGAGGCAAGACACUGUCUAGACCUCAUUGAUCAGAGAGGUCAACUUAAAGAGCUGUCAACAGAAGAACCUUGCAUGUAUUGGCCGCAUCUGGGUAAGCAGAGGCUACUAGACAAAUCAGAGUGUAUACUUGUGGAAUGUGAGAUAACGACGCCAAGAGCUGAAUUUUUACUUCGCCCCAAGUUAGGACUUCUGGGAUGGUGAAAUCUGGAGUUCUGAGCAUAAAUCCCCUACUUCCUGCCAUUGAUUGUAUAUAGAUGCAGACAUAUCACUUGAACUGCUGGGAUUAAAUAUCUUCUUUUACAGAACAUACUUCAAAUUUAUGGGUGAGAAUGGCAAAAAAAAUUUAUUACAUAUUCAGGUGCGAUGCUUCCACAUGACGUAACGACAUUGCACCUCCGGACGAAGGGAAACUAGGCAUAUGCCCAACAUUGGCUCACAGAUUGUGUGGUUGAGAAGACAACAAGCAACUGAAGUUGUUGUCAUGUUGUACAAAUGAGAUCAAUAUGGAAGACAACCCAGAAUACCUGCCUUCUCACCGGAGAAUAAAAGAUUGAGAGAGGAGGAAAGAUGAAGGAAAAUACCAUUUCUCCCACACAUUUUUGGUUUGUGACCUUCUAAAGUAGUUCUAAAACCACAUUUUUAUACAAGUUUGGAUUACAGCCUUGGUUUAAAUAGGUGAGCUUAGGCCAGAGACCAAAUAAUGAGCACAUAUUAGGCAUAAACUUGGGUAUCGAAGCCGCACGGGCCAUCUACGCUGCCUACCUAUCAGAAGGA